GGCAAAGUGACCGAGUGGUUAAGGUGCCACACUUGAAACGUCAAGUCAUGUGGUGGGUUCGCCCGCGCAAGUUCGAAUCUUGUCUUUGUCG
Molecule: non-coding RNA, 91 nt
Organism: Stachybotrys elegans
Lineage: Eukaryota; Fungi; Ascomycota; Sordariomycetes; Hypocreales; Stachybotryaceae
Source: the annotation of a GenBank genome assembly